Patiria miniata (bat star) is the source of this 700-nucleotide long non-coding RNA. RefSeq lists it as uncharacterized. The transcript has 3 exons. Lineage: Eukaryota; Metazoa; Echinodermata; Asteroidea; Valvatida; Asterinidae. The record is from RefSeq and is a predicted model, not a curated record.
CAUGCGCACAAAUGUAAAGAUGCUGCCUUUACGAUUGUAGGUCGCCGAGAUCUACAUGGCUUGCUGAUUCCAAUCCACAAAAAUCCUCUUUUUAAAGAGGCAUCGAACGGCAAAACUUGCUUGAGAUACCUUCGAGGUUUCUGCGGAGGUAGUGCGAUGAGGGAUAAGUGGAAGAAGAAGCGCAUGCGAAGACUGAAGCGCAAGAGAAGAAAGAUGCGUGCCAGGUCCAAGUAGACAGCUAGCCGGCGACUGACAUCUCCAACUUCUUGACUUGCAACAUUUCAGCCACUAUCCACACGCCCGGAUCUCCAAGCCCGAUGGCUAAUCACAGAGAUUCACACAUCUUUCAUCACUCUGUUCCUGAACAUCGUCAGAAACGGAGACAGGAAACAUUGGACCAGAUGCCCCAAGAGAGGCUACAUGGCACGGCAGUCUUCAUGGAGCAGUUGUGGGGAAAUCAAGUCCAUCUUUCCACCUUGGACAGAACUUCAACAAACACGCUUUCUGGUUCGCCAGGUCCAACAUUGACUUUUGGAAGCGAGGCAACAGGCUCUCUCGUCAGAGGAACACCCGGCCGAGUUCGUUCUGGGGCAACUUUCCAACAGUAGUGACGGACAUGUCGGACUGUUUUGCUUAACAAUCAUGAAUGGUCUUGUGGAUUUUGUAAUAAAAAGCGGUGUCAACAUGUCAUUCAUAAUAA